Molecule: long non-coding RNA, 447 nt
Organism: Triticum aestivum (bread wheat)
Lineage: Eukaryota; Viridiplantae; Streptophyta; Magnoliopsida; Poales; Poaceae
Exons: 2
Source: RefSeq, a predicted model, not a curated record
GCCAGCCACCGUCGCGAUUUGGAGGCCUCCGACCAGAUCUUCCUCCCAACCACGACUUGGGUUGCGCUCCCCCGUCGAGCGAGCCCCACCACGGCUGCUGGCGUGCUGGCCGUCGAGCGAGCCCCACCACGGCGACGAGCCGACGACCACCACCUUCUCCUUCCCCUCCUCCGGCCAGAUCCACCCGGUGCCCCUCCGACGCUUGACGUUCAUAUCCAUACCGAGCAGGCAUUGUGGGCUUGGAAAAUUAGUGCGACUACCUACAGGCCGGUGUGGUGGAACUUGGAUCAUGUAGAACUCCAGCCAUGCAAUUUUGUUGUCCGUGUCAUGGAUUUUUUAUAGUUUGUUUGUUUCUUCCAGCUCUCCUUGCUACCUACAAAUUUCUGUCUGUGUUAUAAAACUCCAGUGCUACUACGAUGUGCUAGUGGAAUACAUGCAUGGCUGACA